This is a non-coding RNA of Marasmius sp. AFHP31, 93 nucleotides long. Lineage: Eukaryota; Fungi; Basidiomycota; Agaricomycetes; Agaricales; Marasmiaceae. The record is from the annotation of a GenBank genome assembly.
UCCCUCUUAGCUCAGUGGUAGAGCGCUUCACUAGUAUCCUUAAAUACCUUGCGUGCUAUGAAGAGGUCAGUCGUUCAAGUCGGCUAGAGGGAA